GGGGUUAUAGCUCAGUGGUAGAGUACUUGCCCAGAAUGUAUGAGGCACUGGAUUCAAUCCUCAGUACCACA
Molecule: transfer RNA, 71 nt
Filed under: Marmota monax (woodchuck)
Lineage: Eukaryota; Metazoa; Chordata; Mammalia; Rodentia; Sciuridae
Description: tRNA.Ser
Source: RNAcentral